UACGUAGGGGGCAAGCGUUGUCCGGAAUCAUUGGGCGUAAAGCGCGUGUAGGCGGCCAGAUAAGUCCGCUGUGAAAUCUCGAGGCUCAACUUCGAGCUGUCGGUGGAAACUGUCUGGCUAGAGACCGGAAGAGGAGAAUGGAAUUCCUGGUGUAGCGGUGAAAUGCGCAGAUAUCAGGAAGAACACCCGUGGCGAAGGCGGCUCUCUGGGACGGUACUGACGCUGAGACGCGAAAGCGUGGGGAGCGAACAGG
This 253-nucleotide ribosomal RNA is filed under the name uncultured bacterium. RNAcentral describes it as "partial 16S ribosomal RNA". It matches the Rfam family "Bacterial small subunit ribosomal RNA", at positions 524 to 776 of the family's 1533-position model. The record is from RNAcentral.